RNAcentral lists this ribosomal RNA (465 nucleotides) under Vreelandella stevensii. RNAcentral's name for it is "partial 16S ribosomal RNA". It matches the Rfam family "Bacterial small subunit ribosomal RNA", at positions 338 to 795 of the family's 1533-position model. The record is from RNAcentral. Lineage: Bacteria; Pseudomonadati; Pseudomonadota; Gammaproteobacteria; Oceanospirillales; Halomonadaceae.
CCUACGGGGGGCUGCAGUGGGGAAUAUUGGACAAUGGGGGCAACCCUGAUCCAGCCAUGCCGCGUGUGUGAAGAAGGCCCUCGGGUUGUAAAGCACUUUCAGUGAGGAAGAACGCCUGGUGGUUAAUACCCAUCAGGAAAGACAUCACUCACAGAAGAAGCACCGGCUAACUCCGUGCCAGCAGCCGCGGUAAUACGGAGGGUGCGGGCGUUAAUCGGAAUUACUGGGCGUAAAGCGCGCGUAGGUGGCUUGAUAAGCCGGUUGUGAAAGCCCCGGGCUCAACCUGGGAACGGCAUCCGGAACUGUCAAGCUAGAGUGCAGGAGAGGAAGGUAGAAUUCCCGGUGUAGCGGUGAAAUGCGUAGAGAUCGGGAGGAAUACCAGUGGCGAAGGCGGCCUUCUGGACUGACACUGACACUGAGGUGCGAAAGCGUGGGUAGCAAACAGGAUUAGAUACCCCAGUAGUC